UACAGAGGGUGCGAGCGUUGUCCGGAAUCACUGGGCGUAAAGGGCGCGUAGGUGGUGGCUUAAGCGUGCGGUGAAAGCUCGGAGCUCAACUCCGAGUCGGCCGUGCGAACUGGGCUCACUGGAGCAUAGUAGAGGCAGGUGGGAUUCCGGGUGUAGCGGUGGAAUGCGUAGAGAUCCGGAAGAACACCGGUGGCGAAGGCGGCCUGCUGGGCUAUGGCUGACACUGAGGCGCGACAGCGUGGGGAGCAAACAGG
Molecule: ribosomal RNA, 254 nt
Filed under: uncultured bacterium
Lineage: Bacteria
Description: partial 16S ribosomal RNA
Rfam family: Bacterial small subunit ribosomal RNA
Source: RNAcentral